Long non-coding RNA from Ruditapes philippinarum (Manila clam), 3622 nucleotides. RefSeq lists it as uncharacterized. The transcript has 3 exons. NCBI's taxonomy places the organism in Eukaryota, Metazoa, Mollusca, Bivalvia, Venerida, Veneridae. The record is from RefSeq and is a predicted model, not a curated record.
GCUAUAGUGACUAUUGUUUUCAAUUUAAUUCGGUCAGUAAGAAGGGGAAUACUAAAGUUUUACAGCGCAACCCGAAAGACAUGACUACAUAAGUCAUAUUUUUUACAUAGUGUAUAAAACACAUUAAUAGCAACGCGAUAAAAUGGAUGUACACAACAAAACAGGUUGUCUAUUAAUUCUACUCAGUGGAAUUCUAUCAGUUACUAGAGGAUCCAUUUGUGCAACUAAUAGAGAUUCACGGGCCCUUUUACAAGGUGACAACUCUAAUGUAGUCAACAACUUUUUGCAGCUACUUCGUCAAACAAAUACAUUUAAUUUCCAAGGUGACAACAUCAACCACGCAAAUGGUUGUCGGAAGGAAAUGCAAAGAUUUGUUCACAGAAAAGGACAUUUCGACAAAGCAACCGAUAAAACGUGGAUUCUUGAUUGCUGAGAACCUGUAGAAUGUGUUUUAGUUGAUGGAGAACUGCAUGGAAUGUAUACAAUACAAGUAGUUCCACAAUCAACAUGGCGACAUCUGGUAAACAUUUUACGCGGCACGCAUGCUACAGCUGUUCUGCUUCCUAUAGAUGAACGCAACUCCAUAUCAUAUACGUUUUUGCCAUUUGUACAACAGAGAAGCUCUCUAUUUGUUACAGCCUUGCUUUCUGGGUGCAGUGUUUUUGUUGCAACCGCUGGUAAUGAGAAUUGUAAUAUAAUCGUUAUGCAUGCUAACCGGUUUUGUAGCCGCAAUGAGCCCGAAGAUGACGACGAUAAUCAUAAGCAGGCUAUGUUUGUUCUGGAAAAUGUAAAUUCAUUAAACGAACAAUGCAGCUAUCAGAUCCAACGCAGAUGGUCAAGUGACCAUAAACGCAAUAACAUUGAGCGUCAUGACUACCAUUACCCAGUUGAGUAUUAUAAAUGGAAAAAUUAUAAUUUUAUUUAUGGUUACAAUUUAGGUGGCCAACACCGUAGGUGGCAUUUAUGUCUAAAGGAACUGGAGCAGAGUCCCCGGCGGGAGAUUUGUUACCAAAUUUACUAAACAUUUGUUACAGAAUAUACGUAACGGGUAAAAAAAAAACGUUUAUAAACAUCUAGAAAAAGGUAUAACACUUGUUUUAACAUUCGAUUAUGCAAUGUACAUUUAUCUGGUAUGACAGUAGUCCAAUACUUUAAAUUACCCAGUAUUACAUGUCAGUGUUUGUUCUUAUCUUGUUUUUGAAAUUAUUGAUUCAAACAUGUUAGUGUGGCAGAUACCGCUUGAGCCGAUACUAGGGCCUAAGAGAUCAUUUGACGCCUAAAACAAUCCUACACGGAACUACUUUGGUCGAUUUUUUAAAAAAGAUAUAACUUAAAUGAAUUACAAGACAAAAACAUAAACAAACCUUACGAUUAGCCUUUUAAAUCGGCCUUCUGCCCUAUCUCGGAAAUGGCGUUCGCUCGUCGUUUGACCGUACACCACAAUUUUGAAGUGGAGUGACAGUUUGCCGGGCGUGGUUAAAUAAAGUAUUAAGGUAGAAUACACCUAAUGGGCACACAAGACUGUACAAUUUUCAACAAAAGACAUGUAUUUGCCUUAAAGGACACAUGCAUGUAAACUUUAAACAAAAUUUAUCGUAUGGCUUAUGAGUUAUAGACAUUUUUCUGAACUAAAACUUUGCUAUUUGAAGGGCGCUUUUUCAAAAAUGAGGAAACUCAUGAAAAAUACCAUCAUUAUGAAAAAUGUUUUACUAUUGAUCAUUGUUUGGAAACAAAUAAUAGCAUUCAGGUGACAAAUCACACAUGCAAAAUUUGCUAUUAAAUCAUGCAUUAUUUAGCAAAGAAAUACCCUAAAUAUUAAUAUACAAGUAAAAUUAAACACUUUUUACUUUCCAUAAGAGAUCUGAGAUCUGAGAGAUAUGUAAAAAUGGUAAAAAGAAAGUUGCCCCUUCUGUGGUUGAAUCCACGCCCCUCAGUUUUAAUGCAUCUAGCCUAUUUGAAUACUCUACAACGCGGGCUUUACUACCUUAAAGCAGCAUGCCUCCAGAUUCAUGCUAAUUUUCAAAAAAAUAAAAAUGUAUUUAAAAGUAAUAUAUUGUGAAGUAAACAAGAAAGUAAUUUACACACUGCAAACGGCACUUAUAAUCCACGUAAAUUACGAAAAAAGAAGUCAACAUAUACAUAAAUAUUUCUUACUGCGUUAGUAACGCAGUAGAAUUAUAGUGAUUGAUACUUCCAAAUCAGUCAUUAAUCGCACAUAUUAUGUAAAUGAUUAGUUAUAUAUUGAAUCUUUUUACUUUGCUUAAGAUCUUAAUACGUUAUCCUAAGAAUGAAUUCCUUUAAAUAGUUUGGCUUAUCUGGAGGCGUGCAGCUUUAAAUACUAUUUUUGUUAUUAUAACGGCUGUAUGAACACAUCUGCAGAUGUUUCAAAAUUCCGAAUUUUACAAUGUUAUGUGCAUUUUUUUACAGCGUUAUGUGCGUUCUUUAGGGAUUCAUUAUUUCUAUAUAUUUUAUGUUCCCUAGGAGAAUCAGCUAGGAGAAUGAGAAGUCGCCGCUUUGUUCGUCCGUCCGUCCGCUUUUCUUGUCCGGGACAUAAUUCUGAAACAACAAAAGGGUAUCGACAUAAAACUUUGUAGGUAGAUAGAUCUCAUUGGGUAGAUGUGCAGUGCACAAGAACUGUAACACUGCCUUGUCUAAUUUUUGAAAAAUUGCCAUUUGUUCAUUUUUACACUUGAACUUUGUUCGGACCUAUAAGAGAUAUCAACAUGAAACUUUGCCCUUUGUUCAUUUUUACACUUUGAACAUUGUUAAGAAAAUAGCCGCAAAAAUAUAAUAGAUAUUAACAAGACACUUAGUAAGCAGAUAGAUCUUGUUAGUGCAGAAGAACCAUAACUCUGCCUUGUCUGAUUUUGGAGUAAUUGCCCUUUAUUCAUUUUUUAACUUUGCACUUUAAAACUUGACUGUAAAACUACAAACAAUAUCAACAAGAAAGUAAGUCGGUAGAUAGAUCUUAUUGAGUAAAAGUACAGCGCAAAGAACAGUUACUAUGCCUUCCUUGUCUUAGUUUGGAAUAAUCAAACUUUGAACUAUGACCUGGAUAACUCUGAAAAUAAAAUUGGUAUGUUUUUCUGUGUCAAAAACCGAUUCGGGGAACAUCACGCCGUUCAACCGGUUCUUGUAUUAUUAUUAAUAUUAUUAUUAUUAUUAUUAUUAUUAUUAUUAUCAAGUGUAAAUGAAGGUUAUAUGUGUCAAAAACUAGGUUAUCUGGUCAAAGUCUUUGGAAAAAAAAUUGGUAAAUGGCAUAGGAGAUGGGAGUAUUUUGAUAUCCUUUUCACCCAAAAUGCAUGCUUGAUAGUGUGACAGUUUUUUUAGUUUAUUAAUUAUGGAGAGUACUUUUACUUUGGAUUAAAAACAGAGUCUUCAUUUUAUCAGUAGUGUAUACAAGUGCUACUAAUUUGUUGUAGAUGUUAAUUGCACUUUCAUGUUACCAUAAACAGAGCUGCAUUACUGGUACUGGUACUGGUACUGCAGUACGUACUGCAGCGAUUUUGCAAGUACUGGUACUGAUACUGAAUUACUCUUACAAAAGUUUGCUACUACUGGUACUGGUACUGCAUUACUGUCUUAAAAAGUGGUACUGCUACUGCAUUACCCAGUACUUUUG